CCCCCAUCUCUCUGAUCCUGAGCCGUGACGUUUAGCCCCCUUCUCUGGCUCGGUACCAGCGGUGUACUGGCUGAAGAGACGUCCAGCCCCCGAAGAAAAAAAAAGAAAAAAAAAGACUGCGUCACCAUCUCCGUCCCUCCCAACUACGCAGAAACAAAUGUAUUGACAAUGGUUUUGCCAAAUCCCAGUGGCCCUGGAGUGGGGAGGUGACGGGGACGGGGGGGGGCGAGAGGGUGUUGGUGCCACUAAACACAGACACCGAGCUGAUCCGUUGUCAGCUUACAGCUGGAUCCCAAUCGGUCUCUGAGCAUGGAGAAGCAGGCAUGUAUGGAGGCACUCUUUUCCUUUAACAGCAGUCAACAGUGUGAGCAGACACACACACACGCAGUGACGUAAAUGCGGUUACCCUUUUGGCCGAAGUCAAAGCACCAACUUAUCCUGUUGUUAUAUCCUGUUAAAGGCUACCGUAAUGUCCGCCCGGCUGCAUCUGCGCACACCCCCGUCAAAUGGUGUAUUAGACGUCGAAUACGGUUUCAUAAUGAUAGGUCAGACGGCACGAUGCACGAUUGUAUUCACCAAUGGAAUCAUUCGUAUUCCUUAAGGUGAUGUAAAGAAGAAAUGUUUGAAUGCCUCUAAUCAGUCUCAGCAAAACAUUCCACACCGAGCUGCGUUGUGAUAUUGAGAACCCUCCAGAAUAUUCUUAUGUUAACCCCUUUGUCGCACCUCUGCCCACCCAGACCACACACACACACACGCACGCGCACACAUCUUACCAAGACCUAGAGAAACUGUGUCACAUCUUCAGCAUCCAUGUUGAAACUCCCGAUACCACCUCAAAGAACCUAGAAAAAACAACAGACAAACACACACACCGCGCACACACACAUGCACACACCCAGACGGGCAGAUGAAAACAAAACUAGGAAGGAGGAAGAGGAGGAGGAAGUCGAGGUUGUCCGAAACCACUGUGGCGAUUUCGGUUGAAAAAAGAAAACUCGAUGACUGUGGGCUCCUCGGUUAUCUCAGCUUCCGUUUCUCCUGACAUGAAAAAGUGACGUAGCAACUAAUCCAAAAUCUCUCUCUGCCUCUCUCUUUACCGCUCUCUGUCUCUCUCCCCGUCUCGCUCUCUCUCUCCCUCCCUCCCUCUCUGCUGUCCUCUCAAACACACGCACUCUCCAUUUUUCAUCUUGUUGCAACAGAACUGCCUUUAGUCUGCUACUAGAAGCUAACACACACACACACACAAAGCAGAACCCGCACAAAUGCAUGUGUAUGUGCGCAUGUCUGCAUGUACACGCACACACACACACGCAGGCUAUUCCUCGUCCACCGACUGUGACGCAGCACUUAAUUCUCUGUGCUUUCGCACCACGGUUGUGGCUCUCACGACGACAACUUCUUCACCAAGAUGGAACACACAGGAGCUAGCUAGCCCGCACGCACGGCAAGUGAGCAUGAGCAGACUGCAGGUAAAAAGGGACCCUACCACCGUGGCUUCCUGUCCCCAACUGUGUGACGCUGCUGUGUCCCCAUUUGCCCCCCACCCCCUGUCCCCUUGUAUUUGGGUCCCUCCCCCCCCUCACUCUCUGGCGCACUCCUCUCGGCUAGAGACGCACUGGCUCGUCUGCCCGUGAGGCUGAGCUGACGGAGCCUCCUCGAUCACCUGACAGCCAACUGCUUUUAAAGGCACAUCGCCCCGGUGGAUCGGUUGCAUAAGCACCACCGGGCGGCGUUCUAAUGAGGGAUGCCACUUGUCUCGCCGUCCGCAACAAGGGCGAUAAGCACGAGGUGCUCCGUUUAGGUCCUAACGUGACGCUUUCCUAAUGCCCACAUGUAGGUUGGCAGUUUUACCACGAAGAGGCCUACCGCAAAUGUACUUCCUCUUUCCGUUCGUGGUGCUUCGCGCUGUAGCUCUGCUCAAAAGAAUGCCGCUUGAUCCCGUUUCUGUUCCAAAUAAUACAUCCAGUUAACCCAAUAAUGAAUCUUGUGGAAUGACAAGAAGAUUAAAAGAAGACAUUUGUUCUACCUAGUGUGUUGUAUUGAAGGUUCACCAGGAAUGUAGCGGUUCCUUUAAAAAAAGAAGACUGUCUUAUAAAUAGUCUGGUUUGGUUCAGUCAAACAUUGGCAGAGUGUAUUUUAAGACCUGGAGUCUUUGCUUCUUAUCUGAUUGUCCACAUACCCUGAUUGGAUGAUGCAUCAUGUGUCAUGUAAAUCCGGCUGAAGGGGCUGUGGGGAGAUGGGAGGAAAACACCUUUUCUGUUCCUGAGUUAGCAAAAAGCACCUGAAACGUGUUAUGUUCUACUUCCCCACUGGAGCCCACGGCUUCAUUUCACAGGACUGAGGAGAAAGGAGAGCAUCGGCAAAAGAAUCAGCUUUCACCCUUGAGCUAUAUGGGAAAUUAAGCCCUCAGAAGACUGCGGAUGGGUCGGCACGUGUUCCAGCACUGCAUGACAAAAAAGAAGAGCUUCAUCCCCGUCAGGUCCUGAGGAUAUCACAGGCGUUAUUUCAUGACAAACAUAUUACAGUGAUUCAAAUGUUUCCUUUAGGCUUCAGAUUAGUAGUUUCUGGCAUCACAGUGCUGUAUGGAGUCAGAUAAAUUAAAUGUGUUCAGAUUUAAAUGUGACAUUUUCAUGUUCCCUCUGUCGGGUUGCAUUAAUAAAGACUUUCCAAUAACUUCAUGCACGGUAAAAGAUCCAAGCCUUAAGAAAUACUCCCCCCCUGUGAUGGGUAGCGGUGUUGCAUGUUGGAGGGUUUGUUUACAUCAGGAAUAAAAAGUGCGUAUGACAUAGAAACCUCUGGAUGGAUGGAGCCGAGUCCAGGUAUCGGCCCAUGAAGCACACGCACUUAAGCUUUACAAACUGUACAAAACAGGGGGAAGAAAAAUCAACCAGAGCGGAUUUUCUUUAAACUAAGCUAUUUGAAGGCAAUCUAUUUCUGACAAUGCACGAUGGGAAAAACAAUCUCAGAUGAUUUUAACUUUAGGUCCAUAGCCAACAAAAUACUGUUGAAUUAAGUCCUUACUUAUUUUACAUUUCUUCACUAAUGUUACGGUUUGAAUACAGUAUGCUUGGCUGGGAAGGGUAUUAACCAGAUACAGCAUGACGCACUCUGAAAGAUGCAAUAGUGACACAAUCAUUUAAAUUUCUUGAAAAGGUAACAACAACAAAAAAUGUUUCCUUACAAAUGCUUCCUUUUUUUAAAAACUGAAUACUAGUUAAAACGAAUUUCCCUCCCUCUACAACGUAUUCUACGAACUUAUACUGCAACUUACAAUGUUAACCUUCAAAGGGAUAUAACAAGUUUAAUAAACUGCAUUCAAAUAUACAAUCAAAUCAAAUAAUAGACAAGACAACAGCUACAACAUAAGCGAAAUGAUUGCGCAGUUCUGCGUGGAUGUAGAGACCACUCACUCCUGAGGUAAAUUGAAGUGCGCAACAUCCUCCUGCAGGAACACCUCUCCAUCCCACCCUCCUCCGCUGCCCCGGCGCUGGGAAAUCAGGCAUAAAUCAGCUCAGUCAUGUUUUAUAAGGAAACAGCUGUGAUCAAAUAUCCUGCUUAUUUCCGGAUGACGUCGGAAACAACGCUGGGAAUUGCGCACUAGCCUAGAUCGCGACAAUAAAGUAAAAAAAAAAAAAAAACAAUUAUCGAUGUCCUUAAAUAAAAUAAAAAAAGAACAAAACAACCUUGUAAUAGUUUUAAACAAAAUAAUAAUUAAAUCAGCCGAGUCCCUAAAAACAACCGACCGACCACCCUUGUAACCUGUAUCCAUAUAAAUGACGUUAGACUGUAUUUCAAGUACACUUGGAAGUAAAACAGUGUCUCUCGGCAGGGUCGACGGCCUACCGCGUCUUUCGCAACACGUCCGGUCUCUUUGCCACCUCGUCACCGCUGCCAUUACCUCCCACCGAGCCACCAGUUAUUAUGAAAUCCACCGUGCUGCCUCGCUUUAAUGGAAAAAACAAAAACCCUGUCCAUCGACAUUUUCACAGCAACACAGACAGGCCACGCC
This is a long non-coding RNA of Gasterosteus aculeatus aculeatus (three-spined stickleback), 4009 nucleotides long. The record is from Ensembl. NCBI's taxonomy places the organism in Eukaryota, Metazoa, Chordata, Actinopteri, Perciformes, Gasterosteidae.